GACGAACGCUGGCGGCGUGCCUAAUACAUGCAAGUUGAGCGCUGAAGGUUGGUACUUGUACCGACUGGAUGAGCAGCGAACGGGUGAGUAACGCGUGGGGAAUCUGCCUUUGAGCGGGGGACAACAUUUGGAAACGAAUGCUAAUACCGCAUAAAAACUUUAAACACAAGUUUUAAGUUUGAAAGAUGCAAUUGCAUCACUCAAAGAUGAUCCCGCGUUGUAUUAGCUAGUUGGUGAGGUAAAGGCUCACCAAGGCGAUGAUACAUAGCCGACCUGAAAAGGUGAUCGGCCACAGUGGGACUGAGACACGGCCCAAACUCCUACGGGAGGCAGCAGGAGGGAAUCUUCGGGAAAUGACGAAAGGCUGACCGAGCAACGCCGCGGGAGUGAAGAAGGGUUUCGGAUCGUAAAACUCUGUUGGUAGAGAAGAACGUUAGUGGGAGUGGAAAGCUCAUCAAGUGACGGUAACUACCCAGAAAGGGACGGCUAACUACGUG
This 497-nucleotide ribosomal RNA is filed under the name uncultured bacterium. RNAcentral describes it as "partial 16S ribosomal RNA". It matches the Rfam family "Bacterial small subunit ribosomal RNA", at positions 28 to 507 of the family's 1533-position model. The record is from RNAcentral.